Molecule: unclassified non-coding RNA, 253 nt
Filed under: uncultured Cryomorphaceae bacterium
Lineage: Bacteria; Pseudomonadati; Bacteroidota; Flavobacteriia; Flavobacteriales; Cryomorphaceae
Description: contains 16S-23S intergenic spacer region
Rfam family: Bacterial small subunit ribosomal RNA
Source: RNAcentral
UACGGAGGGUCCGAGCGUUAUCCGGAUUUAUUGGGUUUAAAGGGUGCGCAGGCGGGAAAUUAAGUCAGUGGUGAAAUCCCAUAGCUCAACUAUGGAACUGCCAUUGAAACUGAUUUUCUUGAAUAUAGUUGAAGUAGGCGGAAUAUAACAUGUAGCGGUGAAAUGCAUAGAGAUGUUAUAGAACACCGAUCGCGAAGGCAGCUUACUAAGCUAUUAUUGACGCUCAUGCACGAAAGCGUGGGGAGCGAACAGG